UAAGAUUUAGGUUAUAUAAACUUUAAAUUUUCAAGAUUUAAGAAACACUAAUGUAGUCUUAG
Molecule: transfer RNA, 62 nt
Filed under: Southwellina hispida
Lineage: Eukaryota; Metazoa; Acanthocephala; Palaeacanthocephala; Polymorphida; Polymorphidae
Description: tRNA-Trp
Source: RNAcentral